RNAcentral lists this ribosomal RNA (1327 nucleotides) under metagenome. Its description in RNAcentral is "bacterial LSU rRNA". It matches the Rfam family "Bacterial large subunit ribosomal RNA", at positions 1593 to 2925 of the family's 2925-position model. The record is from RNAcentral.
AGUGUGGGUUAAUUGCCUAGAAAAGAUUUUUCAUAUGUCUUACUCGCCCGUACCGUAAACCGACACAGGUGGGUGAGUGUAAAUGCACUAAGGCGCGCGAGAGAGACCUCUCUAAGGAACUCGGCACAUUAGCCUCGUAACUUCGGGAAAAGAGGUGCUCACUUCGGUGAGCCACAGUAAAUUGCGUUUAGCGACUGUUUAACAAAAACGCAGCACUCUGCUAAGUCGUUAAGACGACGUAUAGGGUGUGACACGUGACCAAUGCGGAAAGAUUAAGGCAUUUUGUUAGCCGCAAGGCGAAGCUCGGUGCCAAAGUCCCCGUGAAUGUCGGCCGUAACUAUAACGGUCCUAAGGUAGCGAAAUUCCUUGUCGGGUAAGUUCCGACCUGCACGAAUCGUGUAACGACUGAACGACUGUCUCGGAGAGGAUCUCGGCGAAACUGUAACUGCGGUGAAGAUGCCGCAUGCCCGCAGUAGGACGGAAAGACCCUAUGCACCUUUACUGUAAGCUGGUAUUGUGUUCUGAUUAAUAAUGCGUAGCGUAGGUGGGAGGCUUUGAAGUGAGUGCUUCGGUGCUCAUGGAGCCGCAAUGUGAAACACCACUCUUUGCUAAUUAGGAUUCUAACCUCGAUUCCUGUCAACCAGGCGAGGGACAGUGCUUGCGGGUCAGUUUGACUGGGGCGGUUUCCUCCCAAAGAGUAACGGAGGAGCGCGAAGCUUGGCUCAACACGGUUGGCAACCGUGCGUCGAGCGUAUGGGUAUAAGCCAGGUUAACUGUGAGACCUACAAGUCGAGCAGAUGCGAAAGCAGGCCCAAAUGAUCCGAUGGUUUAAUGUGGAAUUGCCAUCGCUCAACGGACAAAAGGUACGCUAGGGAUAACAGGCUGAUCGGUUCCAAGAGUUCACAUCGACGAACCGGUUUGGCACCUUGAUGUCGGCUCAUCGCAUCCUGGGGCUGGAGAAGGUCCCAAGGGUCCGGCUGUUCGCCGGUUAAAGCGGUACGCGAGCUGGGUUCAGAACGUCGUGAGACAGUUCGGUCCUUAUCCACUGUGGGCGCAGGAAUCUUGAGGGGUUCAUUCUCUAGUACGAGAGGACCGAGAAUGACGCACUUCUGGUGUGGCAGUUGUUCCAUCAGGGGCAUCGCUGCGUAGCCAUGUGCGGAAGAGAUAAGCGCUGAAAGCAUCUAAGUGCCAAGCUCAUCCCAAGAUAUGGAUUCCCGGACGCAAGUCCCUAAAGACCCCCGGCAGACUACCGGGUUGAUAGGUCAGGCAUGUAAGCGUCGCGAGAUGUUUAGUGGACUGAUACUAAUUGGUCGUGCGGCUUGAUCGC